AUGCAACCAUGUGCACCGGCUUUGAAUCCAAGCCCCACAACCCCCACCCCCUCCGACUCAAAAGCUGCCUAUGUACUCACUCAAAUUACUAGCAGGUGUCAGUGACUGAAGAUCUGGCUUGAAAUGGGAGAAAAAGCACCCACAUCGAACAAACCAGGGGGAAUACGGACCCAUUUGGCUCAUCCCAUCAAUCUGAAAGUCCCAAAGACAAGAUGUAAGAAGCAGUUCCGAGCAUGAAAUAAACGGCGCGCUGGAUUCGAAGAGGCUGCUGAAUGCCAUCUGACACUAAAAGCACGAUUGCCAGACCCCUCUGGCAAUUUAUUUGUUGAGGGAGGGAAGCACCUCUUCUCUUUGGAACAGAGCUCAGCUGAAUGGGGAGAGUCAUCAUUUUAUUUUUGUCAGCCCAUGGCAGACCAGUUUCAUUUCCCCUUUACAUUGGGUUAAAAAGCUGGAGCCUGUGCUGAAGCUCCAUGGAGAUACUCUGGUGUUAAGCUGAUGGGAAGGAGAGCAGAAUUUGGCCCUUAGUUUUUUAAACAGACGCUUAGAUUUCUGGGGGCAAUUUUUUAACAACUCAAGGAAAUUCUGAGCUGUCCUUCCACGUAAUCACACUGGGGAAACUCACCCCUGUGCAGAGGGCCAGCACUCACCCUAGGCACACAGGACUUAAGUGGUGCUCAGAGUUUGGUGCUGGUGUAACCAAUUGGUCAUUGUAUGUCAGGUAUCCCCUCUGUGCCCAAUCCACAGAGGAUGUGAGUCUGUUACAUCCUAGCUAUGAAGCUGGCUCUUUAGCUUAAGCUACAGAGACUCAUACUUUUAGUUCUGGAGUCCCCAGCUCAAUCCUCAUCAUUUAAGUGUGGGCUUGUCCAGGAUUUGAACUGUGGGGGGCCUCACAGACUCUGGAUGAGCUUCCUCUGUGGAGGAGUCCAGCUCUGCAGCUACGGGCUCUGACAGACUCACAUCGUCUGGGUUGGGCACAGAGGACAAUAGGCAGCACAUGCAGACCAGUAGGGCACAAUACCCCGCUGUUUAGGCAUGAAUAUCCCUCAUCCACACCUAAACCAAUGCACAUACAAAGAAAUAAAAUAAAACCAAAUUGUCAUACAGUUUGGAUUUCAUAUAUAGCUUGUCAUAAAUGAGGAAAUAUAAGGCACAGGGAAUGUCACAAUCUUUAUAAUUCUGCAUUCACUUCUACUAGUGAGAACUCUCAGAUGACCAAAAUAAAGACUUGAGGUUGUCAUAGCUGUAAAUCAGUGGGAGAAGCCCAAUAUACAGAAUAUCUCUUAGAUUGCAAAGGAGUUAAAGUCCUUCAUAUAGCAGCCUGCCUGGAACUUGGAGGGAGGAGCACAGGUUGCAGUAGUGAAAAAUUUGAAGGAGACACCCGGAAAUUAGUCUG
Molecule: long non-coding RNA, 1393 nt
Organism: Mauremys reevesii (Reeves's turtle)
Lineage: Eukaryota; Metazoa; Chordata; Testudines; Geoemydidae
Exons: 3
Source: RefSeq, a predicted model, not a curated record